This 493-nucleotide long non-coding RNA is filed under the name Theobroma cacao (cacao). RNAcentral describes it as "long non-coding RNA (TCAC_LNC002946)". The record is from RNAcentral. Lineage: Eukaryota; Viridiplantae; Streptophyta; Magnoliopsida; Malvales; Malvaceae.
GGGUUUUGUCGGAACCUAUCACACACAACAACAUCACCAUCAACCCAACUUGGCAUUAAUACCAUUUUGAAAGCUAUUUCCUAAAUCAAGUUCUACUAGUUAUCCCUAACUAGCUUCCAACUACUACCAAAUGGCUAUUAUUUGCACUACUCUAGUCACACUAAAAAUGAAUAAACAACCUUAACAAUAAAACACUCACAAAUCUAAUUACUAGACAUUAUCAAAAACUAAAGAGAUUAACCCUAACUCAUACUCACCUUGAUGGUCUUUGUAGUUGAAUUCUCUUUCAAAAUUCUUCAAGCUAAUAAGGAAAAUCACUCACUCACUCUCUCUCUCUCUCUUUCUACACGUCCAACUAAUGAGUGAAUGUACUAAAGAAAGACUUUUGAAGGCUGUUGAGGUGUGAAAGUGGAAGAGCAUGAAAAACCCUAUGAAGGAGUGGGCAAAAACAUGAAACUUGGACUUUCUAUGAGAGCUUUAUGGAGGAUUCAAG